RNAcentral lists this ribosomal RNA (253 nucleotides) under uncultured bacterium. RNAcentral's name for it is "partial 16S ribosomal RNA". It matches the Rfam family "Bacterial small subunit ribosomal RNA", at positions 524 to 776 of the family's 1533-position model. The record is from RNAcentral.
UACGAAGGGGGCUAGCGUUGUUCGGAAUCACUGGGCGUAAAGCGCACGUAGGCGGACUCUUAAGUCGGUGGUGAAAUCCUGGAGCUCAACUCCAGAACUGCCUUCGAUACUGGGAGUCUCGAGUCCGGGAGAGGUGAGUGGAACUGCGAGUGUAGAGGUGAAAUUCGUAGAUAUUCGCAAGAACACCAGUGGCGAAGGCGGCUCACUGGCCCGGUACUGACGCUGAGGUGCGAAAGCGUGGGGAGCAAACAGG